Molecule: ribosomal RNA, 253 nt
Filed under: uncultured bacterium
Lineage: Bacteria
Description: partial 16S ribosomal RNA
Rfam family: Bacterial small subunit ribosomal RNA
Source: RNAcentral
UACGGAGGAUCCGAGCGUUAUCCGGAUUUACUGGGUUUAAAGGGUGCGUAGGCGGCAUGUCAAGUCUGGUGUGAAAGACCCCGGCUCAACCGGGGGGACGCGCUGGAAACUGACGUGCUGGAGUACAGGAGGGGGAGUUGGAAUUCCAGGUGUAGGGGUGAAAUGCGCAGAUAUUAGGAGGAACACCAGUGGCGAAGGCGGCUUUCUGGGCCACGACUGACGCUGAGGCGCGAAAGCUAGGGGAGCGAACGGG